RNAcentral lists this ribosomal RNA (745 nucleotides) under uncultured Methanosarcinaceae archaeon. Its description in RNAcentral is "SSU rRNA". It matches the Rfam family "Archaeal small subunit ribosomal RNA", at positions 117 to 860 of the family's 1478-position model. The record is from RNAcentral. Lineage: Archaea; Methanobacteriati; Methanobacteriota; Methanomicrobia; Methanosarcinales; Methanosarcinaceae.
GGGUCCGGCAUAACUCCGGGAAACUGGGGAUAAUUCCGGAUAACGCACAUAUGCUGGAAUGCUUUAUGCGUAAAAUGGAUUCGUCUGCCCAAGGAUGGUUCUGCGGCCUAUCAGGUAGUAGUGGGUGUAAUGUACCUACUAGCCUACAACGGGUACGGGUUGUGAGAGCAAGAGCCCGGAGAUGGAUUCUGAGACAUGAAUCCAGGCCCUACGGGGCGCAGCAGGCGCGAAAACUUUACAAUGCGGGAAACCGUGAUAAGGGGACACCGAGUGCCAGCAUCAUGUGCUGGCUGUCCAGGUGUGUAAACUACACCUGUUAGCAAGGGCCGGGCAAGACCGGUGCCAGCCGCCGCGGUAACACCGGCGGCCCGAGUGGUGAUCGUGAUUAUUGGGUCUAAAGGGUCCGUAGCCGGUUUGGUCAGUCCUCCGGGAAAUCUGAUAGCUCAACUAUUAGGCUUUCGGGGGAUACUGCCAGACUUGGAACCGGGAGAGGUAAGAGGUACUACAGGGGUAGGAGUGAAAUCUUGUAAUCCCUGUGGGACCACCUGUGGCGAAGGCGUCUUACCAGAACGGGUUCGACCGUGAGGGACGAAAGCUGGGGGCACGAACCGGAUUAGAUACCCGGGUAGUCCCAGCCCUAAACGAUGCUCGCUAGGUGUCAGGCAUGGCGAGACCGUGUCUGGUGCCGCAGGGAAGCCGUGAAGCGAGCCACCUGGGAAGUACGGCCGCAAGGCUGAAACUUAAA